RNAcentral lists this long non-coding RNA (391 nucleotides) under Anser brachyrhynchus (Pink-footed goose). RNAcentral's name for it is "lncRNA (ENSABRG00000011338.1)". Lineage: Eukaryota; Metazoa; Chordata; Aves; Anseriformes; Anatidae. The record is from RNAcentral.
UGUAGAAAUACUUGCUAGGUUAGGAGAUUUCAAUUGUGUUAAUUGCAGUGGUCCUGCAAUACAUCAACAUCAUUAUUGCUCUGAAAAUUAUCCCCUGGCACAAUGAGGGUCAAUGUUUGGUAUUGAUAUAUUCCAUUUUUACUUUCUUAGGUCACUUUUAUUUCAGUCUGGAAGUACAGUCAAAACUUAGCCAAGGAUUGUUAUAUACCACAGAAGAAGUGUGAUACAGAGUGGAAAAGGCAGUAAAAUGGAAACUGAGACAUUGAGUUAGUUACUGCAUGAAAUCUUGAUUGGGGAACCACUACACAACCAGCUGCAGUGAAGGGAAGCUUUGCAGCACCUUACACAAGGUAUUGCAGGGAAUGUAAAUAAAGGUAAUUACCCUCCACUG